GUCGUAACAAGGUUUCCGUAGGUGAACCUGCGGAAGGAUCAUUCGCACGUAUCCAAUCAAACAACUGUGAACUACUCUGCGUGAGCUUUUGCAUGGGGAUGGCGAGUAACACUCCUGCUCCCAUCUGAAAGCUCAAGGGUAGGCGACGUAAGGAUCGGACCGUCUUCCCUUCCUGUUCCGCCUACCAGGUUGUCUUGAUCCACAGUCAAGAAAUGUUAUUUCAUGCGUGGCUUCGCCCAUGCACGUGCUUUUUACAACUUUCAGCGACGGAUGUCUCGGCUCGAACAACGAUGAAGGGCGCAGCGAAGUGUGAUAAACAUUGUGAAUUGCAGAAUUCCGUGAACCAAUAGGUACUUGAACGUAUACUGCGCUUUCGGGAUAUCCCUGAAAGCAUGCCUGCUUCAGUGACUACUCCUUUUCAUUCCAGCAUUUGUUGCGAGUUUUUGCGCGUUAAGGAGCCUCUUGGCCCGUGACGUGUUAAGUGCAUCCAGCCCCUGUGCGAUGACGAUUGAUUGAGCUUCUCUUCUUUUUGUCUGACCGCUGGGAGCUACUUCUCAAGCCGCGUAGGCGUUCCACCAAAGUCAUGAAGUUAGGUCAGAGAACCCGCUGAAUUUAAGCAUAUAAGUAAGCGGAGGAAAAGAAACUAAAUAGGAUUCCCUCAGUAAUGGCGAAUGAACAGGGAUGAGCUCAGCAUGGAAAUUGGGACCUCUGGUCCUGAAUUGUAGUCUCGAGACGUAUUGCCAACGGAGGCGCAGAUGUAAGCCUCUUGGAAAAGAGCAUCAGUGAGGGUGAGAGUCCCGUUCGUCAUCUGCAGUCCCCCGUGCACGGCGUACGUUCUAAGAGUCACGUUCCUCGGGAUUGGAGCGCAAAGUGGGUGGUAAAUUUCAUCUCAAGCUAAAUAUUGGUUCGAGACCGAUAGCAAACAAGUACCAUGAGGGAAAGGUGAAAAGGACUUUGAAAAGAGAGUUAAAAGUGCCUGAACUCGCUGAAAGGGAAGCGAAUGGAACCAGUGUAUCUUGGUGAGAUUGUUGCGUGCCAAUGUGAUUGCUUUCCGCAGCAGCGCAAGCGUUGUGGGGGGUUUUGAUCUGGACGUGCGCAGUGUUUCUUGCCAUGUGUGUCAACGUCAGUUCCCAUCUGGGGAAAACUCCAAGGACAUGGUAACUCGUCUCAGGGUGAGUGAAUGUGCUUGGCAGAACUUAUUUGGGGACUGAUUAAUGCGUGUUAGGUUUCAGUGUCCUUCGUCUCUGGGUUCUAGUCCCAAGCAUUCGCUAAGACUGGGAUUCAGAUGACUGGGGCAUCUUCCUGACUCAACGACGAUGACUAAAUGGUUCUUUUCGACCCGUCUUGAAACACGGACCAAGGAGUCUAACAUAUGUGCGAGUUCACGGGCGGGUAAACCUGCUUGCGCAAUGAAAGUGACUGCUGGGAUCUUUGCACCAGCAACCGACCAAUCAAUUGAGAGAGGUUUGAGUAUGAGCAUAUCUGUUAGGACCCGAAAGAUGGUGAACUAUGCGUGA
RNAcentral lists this ribosomal RNA (1517 nucleotides) under Kryptoperidinium triquetrum. RNAcentral's name for it is "eukaryotic LSU rRNA". The stretch from base 580 to 1517 matches the Rfam family "Eukaryotic large subunit ribosomal RNA", at positions 1 to 840 of the family's 3401-position model. Lineage: Eukaryota; Dinophyceae; Peridiniales; Kryptoperidiniaceae. The record is from RNAcentral.